RNAcentral lists this transfer RNA (67 nucleotides) under uncultured Dysgonomonas sp. It matches the Rfam family "tRNA", at positions 7 to 64 of the family's 71-position model. Rfam says of the family: Transfer RNA (tRNA) molecules are approximately 80 nucleotides in length. Lineage: Bacteria; Pseudomonadati; Bacteroidota; Bacteroidia; Bacteroidales; Dysgonomonadaceae. The record is from RNAcentral.
GUCGUAGCUCAGUUGGUUAGAGCGUCGGAUUGUGGUUCCGAAGGUCGCGGGUUCGAGCCCCGUCUUC